CAGCAAGGGCAGAAGCAGUGCAAACUUUCCCUGCACUGCCCCACCAAUCUGCC
Molecule: unclassified non-coding RNA, 53 nt
Organism: Chelonoidis abingdonii (Abingdon island giant tortoise)
Lineage: Eukaryota; Metazoa; Chordata; Testudines; Testudinidae
Source: Ensembl